Molecule: non-coding RNA, 38 nt
Organism: Schistosoma mansoni
Lineage: Eukaryota; Metazoa; Platyhelminthes; Trematoda; Strigeidida; Schistosomatidae
Source: Rfam
UACUGAGGAGUCCCACAAUAGGACGAAACGGCCGUCCA